CGGAGGAUCCAAGCGUUAUCCGGAAUCAUUGGGUUUAAAGGGUCCGUAGGCGGUUUGGUAAGUCAGUGGUGAAAGCCCAUCGCUCAACGGUGGAACGGCCAUUGAUACUGCCAGACUUGAAUUACUGGGAAGUAACUAGAAUAUGUAGUGUAGCGGUGAAAUGCUUAGAGAUUACAUGGAAUACCAAUUGCGAAGGCAGGUUACUACCAGUGGAUUGACGCUGAUGGACGAAAGCGUGGGUAGCGAACAGGAUUAGAUACCCUGGUAGUCCACGCCGUAAACGAUGGAUACUAGCUGUUGGGGGCAACUUCAGUGGCUAAGCGAAAGUGAUAAGUAUCCCACCUGGGGAGUACGUUCGCAAGGUUG
This 366-nucleotide ribosomal RNA is filed under the name uncultured organism. Its description in RNAcentral is "bacterial SSU rRNA". It matches the Rfam family "Bacterial small subunit ribosomal RNA", at positions 526 to 896 of the family's 1533-position model. The record is from RNAcentral.